This 380-nucleotide ribosomal RNA is filed under the name uncultured bacterium. RNAcentral's name for it is "partial 16S ribosomal RNA". It matches the Rfam family "Bacterial small subunit ribosomal RNA", at positions 355 to 725 of the family's 1533-position model. The record is from RNAcentral.
UAGGGAAUCUUCGGCAAUGGACGAAAGUCUGACCGAGCAACGCCGCGUGAGUGAAGAAGGUUUUCGGAUCGUAAAACUCUGUUGUUAGAGAAGAACGUUGCAUAGAGUGGAAAAUUAUGCAAGUGACGGUAUCUAACCAGAAAGGGACGGCUAACUACGUGCCAGCAGCCGCGGUAAUACGUAGGUCCCGAGCGUUGUCCGGAUUUAUUGGGCGUAAAGCGAGCGCAGGUGGUUUAAUAAGUCUGAUGUAAAAAGGCAGUGGCUCAACCAUUGUGUGCAUUGGAAACUGUUAGACUUGAGUGCAGUAGAGGAGAGUGGAAUUCCAUGUGUAGCGGUGAAAUGCGUAGAUAUAUGGAGGAACACCGGUGGCGAAAAGCGGC